Molecule: long non-coding RNA, 585 nt
Filed under: Pongo abelii (Sumatran orangutan)
Lineage: Eukaryota; Metazoa; Chordata; Mammalia; Primates; Hominidae
Description: lincRNA
Source: RNAcentral
AUUAUCUCCUUGGGGGUUAGGAUUUCAAUAUAUGAAUUUUUGGGAAACACAAACAUUUAGCCCAUGACAGGGGCCAAGGGAGCGAGGUGGGAUCAGAAACCAAGGCCCUCAGAUGUGUGUGUGGCAGGGAGGGUGGUGGGUAAGAAACUCAUCAAUGCGGUUUCUGCACACGCCCUGUUUAUCCAGGCCCUUUGAUUCUCCCCAAGAGGGAGGAGACCAGCGAGGAAAUCAGCAUUGGGCGGAACAGAGAAAAGAGGUGGUAAAUUAUUACCCAUUAAGCUCCAGAGCCACAGGAGCAGUUAUAAAGUAGAAAGAUUUGGGAAGAAGGUGUGAUCAGGAGAAAGCAGAUUUUCCUCCUCCCCUUCUGCUGGGACAGAUGAAGACGCGGCGGGCACGGGGGACGGACGAGCAAGGACACAUGGUCAGAGGCACAAGGGAGUAAUUGUCAGGGACCCAAGUCACUUGCAGAGGCCUUUCUGAAUGGUGGGUUCUGAGGUGGCUGUAUCCAGGUGUGGCGUCUCCACCCUCAGCCUUGCAUGGAGAACCCAGGAAGCGAAGCUACAAGGGCAAAGCAGAAGGAUGGGG